RNAcentral lists this ribosomal RNA (468 nucleotides) under uncultured bacterium. RNAcentral describes it as "partial 16S ribosomal RNA". It matches the Rfam family "Bacterial small subunit ribosomal RNA", at positions 28 to 507 of the family's 1533-position model. The record is from RNAcentral.
GACGAACGCUGGCGGCGUGCUUAACACAUGCAAGUCGAACGGAAAGGCCCUGCUUUUGUGGGGUGCUCGAGUGGCGAACGGGUGAGUAACACGUGAGUAACCGGCUCUUGACUUUGGGAUAACUUCAGGAAACUGGGCUUAAUACCGGAUAGGAGCUCCUGCUGCAUGGUGGGGGUUGGAAAGUUUCGGCGGUUGGGGAUGGACUCGCGGCUUAUUAGUUUGUUGGUGGGGUAGUGGCUUACCAAGGCCUUGACGGGUAGCCGGCCUGAGUGGGUGACCGGCCACAUUGGGACUGAGAUACGGCCCAGACUGCUACGGGAGGCAACAGUGGGGAAUAUUGCACAAUGGGCGGAAGCGUGAGGCAGAGACGCCGGGUGCGGGAUGACGGCCUUCGGGUUAUAAACCGCUUUCGCCUGUGACGAAGCGUGAGUGACGGUAAUGAGUAAAGAAGCACCGGCUAACUACGUG